This is an RNA transcript of Vigna umbellata (rice bean), 1256 nucleotides long. It is a transcript of the gene named antigenic heat-stable protein, with no coding region annotated. Lineage: Eukaryota; Viridiplantae; Streptophyta; Magnoliopsida; Fabales; Fabaceae. The record is from RefSeq and is a predicted model, not a curated record.
GCGUACUGCGUGACUGGUCUCCGCUACCGUCUUCCUCUUUCAUUUAUCGUGUUAGGGUUUUCAGAUAUCAGGAUUGUUCUCCUUCCCUCAAAUUCAGCGAAUUAGCUUUUUCAGAGUUCAGAAUUGUUAUCGUCCUUCAUAUAACUGCGUUUUCAAACCGACAUUUGUCCGUACCCAAGAUUCUUACGAAGAUCGAAAUUCUUCCGCGUUUUCGCUUUGGCUAAGGUUCAACGCGGACAACUACGUAUGGCUUCUUCCUCAAUAAUCACUCCUGAAGAUGUGUUGGAGUCGCUGAUGAACGACGGCUCAAUUGAUGCCCUCAGAUUGAAGAUCAUCAACCAGCUCAAAGCCAAUGAGGAAUUGAAGAGUACCACUAUAAAGAUGGCUGAGCAGAGUAAGGUUCUUAACACCCCCGGUGCUGAAAAACAGACUAAAAGAGAGCUCUUUGAUGCUCUUCGGCAAGAACUUGAAGCUUCUGUACUCGAAAAAGCCUCAAAAUCAGUUUGGGAUUUAAUUGUAGACAAUAAUGGCCUGGGAAAGGAGAUAAGUGAAACUGUUGAGCGAGUGUUUUGUCGACUGAGUGGCCAGGAGCCUCCAUUGUUUCCACUUCCUAAUGGUGAGCCGCAAUCUGAAAAGGAGGCUGGCAACAGAAAAGAAAAAGGCAAGGGAAAGCAGAAGGAAACUGAAAGCAUAAAUACAAAUACUCCAUCAAAGAAAAGGAGCUUCAGUGAAAUAAAUUUGGAAGGACCGGAUGAAACUUCAACCAGGUUCUCUGAUCCCGCGGCAGUAUUGGAAGGUUCUGGCAAAUCACCUGUAUCAAUUUCGAAGACUUGAGUUGCAAAUUCGACAAUCCUUUUGUAACUGCAUUGAUCAAAUCUGCAUUCUUUUUGCUUUUGGAGCGCGGGAUGGGGAUGGGGAUGCCUACAACUACAAGCUCCGCGGGAUGCCUACAACUACAAGCUCUGCAAUUGCUUUCGCAAGAUUCUCGCGUGACAUUGGUUGGUACUAUGGUACAGAUGCAAAUAUUUUGGAAUACCCCUAGGGGUCUUUAGGAACGAAGGAAUUAUUCAUUUUUGAGUCUUUACAAAUGAACGAAGGAUUGUGUAUUUUUGCACAAGAGCAAGAUAUAAUGCAGGUGAGGGUUUGUAAUAGUGAUAUAGUCCGGAAAUGUAUAGAUAGGGAAAGCUAUUUAUAUAUAGAUUCUUUUGUAUUGCAUAAAGUUCCUAUUCUUUUGAUUAAGUAUUAUGUUUUGAAAA